This is a long non-coding RNA of Meriones unguiculatus (Mongolian gerbil), 931 nucleotides long. RefSeq lists it as uncharacterized. The transcript is spliced from 3 exons. Lineage: Eukaryota; Metazoa; Chordata; Mammalia; Rodentia; Muridae. The record is from RefSeq and is a predicted model, not a curated record.
UCCGCUCUCCUUCUUCCCCGUUUCCCCGCCCGGGGCCGCGGCCCGCGGGAAGCCGCCCGCGCCCACGAGGUGGCCGGGCGGCCCCUCUCCUCUCUUCAUCGCGUGACUAAUAAAGGUUUUGCUGCGGAAGGAUUCCUGUGGUCGCGUGCGUUUCUGCCGGCGUAACGCUCACGCGGCUCCCAACAUCUGUACACCUAAGGAAGCUAAGCAAGAAGGAGGAUUCUAGGUGAAGCUGGGAAAGACAGAGAAUUGUGCUGCCCCUUUCUUCUCUGUUGUGAUGUGAGAGUUAAGAACAUUUCCCUUGGCGUUGAAUGGCUGAUCUUCCAUGCUCUCCACAUAGAACACGGUCUCCAAUCCUCUGAAACGCCUAAAGUUUCCCAAUCAAGCCUACCUCAAGAAGGUGAAUUUUCAACUGGAAGAUGGUGUGGCCAGCAGCAGAGCAGGGACUUUAUCUCCUGGCAAAGGAGGCAGCAAAGGCAUUCUGUUUAAAAAGCACCUGUACUCUGCCCAAAGUUGCCCCUUUGGGCAGAGUGCAGGGAAUUUUAUGAAAGAAGUGGGAAACAGUAAGAUCUGGAGAGGACAGGAACUCCACAAGGAGAGCAACAGAACCAAAAAAUUCUGAGCACAGGGGUCUUUCCUGAGACUGAUACUCCAACCAAGGACUAUGCAUGGAGAUAACCUAAGACCCCUGCACAGAUGUAGCCCACGGCAGUUCAGUGUCCAAGUGGGUUCCAUUGUAAUAGGAACAGGGACUGUCUCUGACAUGAACUGAUUGGCCCGCUCUUUAAUUACCUUCCCCUGAUGGGGAAGCAGCAUUACCAGACAACAGAAGAAGACAAUACAGCCAGUCCUGCUGAGACCUAAUUGACUAGGAUCAGAAGGAAGGAAAAGAAGACCUCCCUUAUCAGUGGACUUGGGGAGGGGCAUGCAU